UACGUAGGGUGCGAGCGUUGUCCGGAAUUAUUGGGCGUAAAGGGCUCGUAGGUGGCCAACUAAGUCAGACGUGAAAUCCCUCGGCUUAACCGGGGAACUGCGUCUGAUACUGGAUGGCUUGAGUUCGGGAGAGGGAUGCGGAAUUCCAGGUGUAGCGGUGAAAUGCGUAGAUAUCUGGAGGAACACCGGUGGCGAAGGCGGCAUCCUGGACCGACACUGACACUGAGGAGCGAAAGCCAGGGGAGCAAACAGG
This 253-nucleotide ribosomal RNA is filed under the name uncultured bacterium. Its description in RNAcentral is "partial 16S ribosomal RNA". It matches the Rfam family "Bacterial small subunit ribosomal RNA", at positions 524 to 776 of the family's 1533-position model. The record is from RNAcentral.